UACGUAGGGUGCAAGCGUUGUCCGGAAUUAUUGGGCGUAAAGAGCUCGUAGGCGGUUUGUCGCGUCGAAUGUGAAAUCCCGGGGCUCAACCCCGGGCCUGCAUUCGAUACGGGCAGACUAGAGUUCGGUAGGGGAGUCUGGAAUCCCUGGUGUAGCGGUGAAAUGCGCAGAUAUCAGGAGGAACACCGGUGGCGAAGGCGGGACUCUGGGCCGAUACUGACGCUGAGGAGCGAAAGCGUGGGGAGCAAACAGG
Molecule: ribosomal RNA, 253 nt
Filed under: uncultured bacterium
Lineage: Bacteria
Description: partial 16S ribosomal RNA
Rfam family: Bacterial small subunit ribosomal RNA
Source: RNAcentral